Long non-coding RNA from Rosa rugosa (rugosa rose), 558 nucleotides. RefSeq lists it as uncharacterized. NCBI's taxonomy places the organism in Eukaryota, Viridiplantae, Streptophyta, Magnoliopsida, Rosales, Rosaceae. The record is from RefSeq and is a predicted model, not a curated record. The transcript has 3 exons.
UUUAUAAGCACUGUUCCUAAGAACCCGAUUUAAAGUGACGCUUUUGCCCUUGCUUUUUUUCCCUCAAUUACAAUUUGCUGAGCCUUCACCUACGUCCACACAGACAGAAAGAGAGAGCUAGGAGGGCCUCAUCUUAAGGUAUAAACUGAAGGCGAUACAAGCUAUUACAUCGUUGGGAUCAUCACGGGAGAAGGGAAAAGAUUGGCUUCUGUUCGGUUUGGAUAAGUGGUCGGCUGUUGGUUCUGUGGAUUGUCAAAGGUUUAACAUCGAAGGGAUAUUGUUUGUUGUGGAGUUUGCGAUUUGAGUAAUUGGUUGGAGGAGGUUGGAGGUGAGAUUUUGAUUUGGGUUUCGCAGUUUUCAGUAUUGUGGACUGGAGUAUCUCCCUGUUUUUGCUUUGUUGAUUGGAUUUUGCCUCAUCCAGCAUCGACUUGAUUAGCUAAGCUGCAGCCUCUGAAGAACAAGAAGAAAGCAAACCAUUAGCCUCAAUUCUUUUUUAGCAUCAAUGGCAUGGAAACAGAGCCAAUGAGUAAUGCUGAGAAUUCCAGCGCAAAACCCGAG